This 2218-nucleotide long non-coding RNA is filed under the name Zea mays. RNAcentral's name for it is "long non-coding RNA (ZMAY_LNC003839)". The record is from RNAcentral. Lineage: Eukaryota; Viridiplantae; Streptophyta; Magnoliopsida; Poales; Poaceae.
UCAAGACCGGCAAAAACGAAACCUAUUAUAUACCUUUGUCUUUAUUUGAUCUACAACCAAUGCUUAUGAUUCUCCAACAUUUCCUGUUCUAUGUGGUCCAACCCUGCAUUCUUAUUUCAAGAAUCGUUAGUCAACAAGCAGUUGUCAUUAAUUACCAAAACAUCACCAAAGGGGCCUAGAUGAUUCACAAGUACAACCAACAUUAUCACCAACCCAAGUAUUUGAUGGACCAAUUACACGUAGCCGAGAUAAGAAGCUACAGCAAGAGGUGCACGCACUACUUUAUAAAUUUCAAUUAAACACAAAUAAGAACUUUAUGUUAUCUAAGUCGUGUUUGUUGAUAUUACUUAGAUUCACCAAAGAGGAAUGACAAAACAUAUCAAGAGCGAAUUAGCAAGAAGAGUUAUGUCCGAGUCAGUCCAGCGCUACAGAACCGUCCAGAAGAAACAGUCAUAUCUUUUGAUUCCCAAAAGCUAUGAAGGCCCAUAAGUACUUUUUGGAAAGCUCUUGAAGUCUAGUUUCCAAUGCUUCUAAAGCCGACUUAAUCAAAUCUACCAGAAAAGCAACCGACCUACUUUAGUGCUGACUGGUUAGAAGGUCAACAGUCUGCUUGAUGACCAAGUUUUCGUAUUAAACUGCAUCAUUCUACGAAGUUUCAUUAAGCAUGCUAUAAAUGGUGAGAAAGCUUAUCAAGUCAGCUUUCCUACGCAUCCAGCCCCACGUCAUUUGGAGAUUCCUAGAAGAAGUUAUUACCAAAAUACUGAAGGCUGCGCAGAAGUCAAACAGCCACACGGAAAUCAGCUCUGCAGAUCUCACGAAGAGGCUCCUUCACAUUAGCACGUGAAAAUACUUUUGUUUCGUGUUUAUACCUCGAUAAGGCUGUUUGUUACUAGUAUAAAUACCCCCUUAUGUCUAUGAUAUAAGGUAGCUUUGGAUAAUCUAAAACAGAACCCCUUUGUUUAGCUGUGUGCUAACAAAUAUUGAGAGUGAUCUCUACCCCUUUGCUCUUGUGAAUUCCUUCGCGGGAUUACAGAAGCGGUGGCUUCAUCCGCUCCCAAUUGGUGCUCCUACUCCCUUCGAGGUCUCCUCGAUUGAUUGUAGAUUGUGUUGGUUGGUUCUUUGAGACAAACAACAGUUCAAAAACUGCUUGAUAUUGCACUAGGUUUGAAUCAAAAGUUUAAAACUAUAUGUGCAUACUAAAGGGCAGAUUAUUAAAACAUAUACAAAGUAAAAAUAAAUAUAGAUGGAAGUGCUUACAAAUUAAAAAAUGGCGAAAAACUAUAUAUAUACUUGUUACCCAAAAAUGUAAAACAACUACACAUUUUAAUCAAACCAAUGCUCUAGUUAACAAGUAGGAGAUUCUACAAGUCGUUCUAGGUUACAAAAUAAAGCAGGACACUUGACUUUUUACCUGGAACUUGCCAGUUUCUACCAUAAAUGAACUUAAGUUAUUAGGGAUAAUACGAAAUACAAGCUCUGUCUGCCUUAUCUCCCUUUUUUCCCUUAUGCUCCCUGGUUCAUGGCCUGUACCAAUUUUAAGCUAAAUUCUCUUCACUGUCUAUUUCCAAGUACUUGUCACAUGUCCACGCAGCCGCUCAUCAAACUUUCCACAGCACAGCACAAAACCCUCCCUAAACCUUGCCAGCUAAUAUCGCCAGACGGACUCCAAAAUGGCAUGGCCGCAACCAUGCUUGAGGCGCUGAAGACCCUAGGCAAGAUUUUAGAUGGAUUAUCGACUCCAUAACUAGGACACCACGCAGCUCAAGAGUCCACAGGUAACCGGGUUAGAAAAAAAAAAUCGAAUUUUAACGCUCGCAGACGGGACAGGAAGGUCGCCAAGGACAAGGCGAGCAGCGAAUUCCAACCUCCAACUGAGGCAAAGCUCGAGUCGCUUACCCACGAGAGCAGAGGUCGAUCCGAGUCAAUCCGGAUAGUCGGAGCUUCACUGACGACCCGCGCCGCACCGGUAGAGCAACAGGAAGCCGGUAACAGGCAGUGCAGAAGGAGCGGAGAGGCGAGGUCGACGGCGAUGAACCACCCGCAGCUCGCGGCGGCCACCGAGGUCGACGACAGGAAGCAAGGGGACGGAGGAGUUGGGGAGAUCUAGACGGCGGACGGGCGGCAUCCAAGACUGAGGUGGAAAAGUUGGCUGGACAGCACAGGGGUCUUCUCAGACUGCAAACUCUGCUUCUGCUCGACUCCCUCCGAGUCAGGCUGG